RNAcentral lists this long non-coding RNA (2141 nucleotides) under Canis lupus familiaris (dog). Its description in RNAcentral is "lncRNA (ENSCAFG00030010003.1)". Lineage: Eukaryota; Metazoa; Chordata; Mammalia; Carnivora; Canidae. The record is from RNAcentral.
GUCAACCAGUGCCUGAAGCCACGCACGCCGAGUGACACGGUAGAACAUGCCUGGGUGUGGGCACCCCGGAUGUGCCAGGCCGCAUGUGGCACGGAGAACAUAGCUGUGAGACGGAAACAACGCAAGCUUCAGGAGCCAUGGACCGUGCUUUCCACGGGAGGUCACUUAUCCACUCAUCCCGUGUUUAUUGAGCUUCCACCGAGCACCAGAUACGGAAUGAAGCAUCAGCACAGGUUGUCAAGGAGCAGGAGCCCUGCCUUAGCUGGGGGUGUGGACAAGUCAACAUCUGUGGUGUGAUGGCUGUAAGCACUGGGUCUAAGCAGGUAAGAGAGACCACAGGGGACGUCCUGGGCAGGUGACAUCCAAAUUGAUCCUGGAAGGGUGAGGCAGGAUAGGCUGGACUGAGUGGUGUCAGGGUAGGGAGAGGGGGAAAUGAGUCUGGACAGGUGAGCAGGCUCGUACCACCAAAGGUCUGUGUCCCACAAUACGGAGUUGAGUCUUUAACUUAGGAGUAACACAGAGGCACUGCAGCAGGUUAAGCAGCGGAGUGGCAGGGUCAGCUCUGUGUCUGAGGAGAUCACCGUGGCUGCUGUGUAGAGAACUAAGGACUAGGACGUAGGGGAGCUUGGUCAAACUAGAAGACCGGCCCGCAGCGCAGACAGCGCCGCGCUGGCGGUAGGGAUCUGAGGCAUGAUUACAGGGAACCCUCUGUAAGACUGAGCAACGACUUGGAAGAAAAGUGAAGGAUCAAGAAUGACGCCUAGGUUUCUGGUGGGGGCUGCCAGAUGGAGGCAUGUCACUAACCACGGUGGUGACCACCGGAGAGAGGCAGGCUGCGGCUGGGGGGAGGCACGAAAUGGGUGGGAGGCGACAUGGGGCAGGUGAGGCUGAGGGGAGUGACUAUUAAAGGCGGGCAUGCCGGAUCUUACUCACAGAUGACUGUGAAAGCACCAGUACAAGAAAAGGUUAAGGACAAAGAAAGAAAGGGGCCAAGAGCCAAUGGUGGGAAGGCUCUGGAAGAAACCAAAGGGCAUACGAGUCAGAGGAUGGUAGGAGGAUGAGCCCUAGUGAGGCCACCUUGGUUCUGGGGAUGAAAGGAAGGGUGCAGCGGCAGGUGUGCAGGUGCCUCGGGUCUUCCUCACCCCGAGGCCCGGAGUCCUGCCCUGCCCUCUCACAUCUCCUGGCUUCUCGUGUUUUCCUUGAUCUUCCUUAAGUUCUUUAGCCAGUUGGUGAAUUAGCUCUUCCGCGUAGAGGGACUGCUUUGAACAGAGAGUUGGCCUGGAUGAGUGAGUCGGAGCUUCAGGCUUCCCAUCCCCACUGGAGACAGAGCGCCUGGAAGGGCAGCUGCGAGGCUCAGCUGCGAGGGUGUGUGAGCCGCUCAGAGGGGCGCUCAGCACCCAGCACUGCGGGUGAUGGGAGUCCUCUUUCUUGGAUGUGUGCUGACUGACCCCGAGUGCACCUGUGUGCUCCAGGGGAGCUUCCAGAAGCAGCCUUUCUGUCUCAUGCCCUUUCAAAGCUGGAACCCUUUUUUUUUUUUUUUUUUAAGCAGUCCACUAAAUUCCUAAGCACAAUUUUCUGUUCAUUGGCAAAAUCAAAGAUAGUGAAGAAGCUGUGCAGUCUCAUGGAGGGAUUCCACAAGCUGCCCAGCACUUCAAAAAAAAAAUCCUGGUUCUGUCAAUAACUGGAAACUCUGGGGUUUAGGGCCCUAGAACUGGUAUUUUUAAUAUUGGUCUGAUGAAAAGGGCAGAGUCUGCAGUAAGUAGAAUUUAAUUUUAGUCCAGGCUCUCCAUUAGGUAGCUGACCUGGCCCCGUGUCUGAGCGUAUGAAAUGAGGGGAAUAAACCCUGUUCAUGGAGUUACUAUGAACCAAGUGGGAGAGCAGAGGGCAAAGCACCCUGGAGGGGGCCUGUGCUGCUCGGGGAGGCCGGCAAGUCCCCUGCGCCUGAACUCGGGUGGGUUUGGGGACAGCCCUCCGCUGCCCCCGGCAGGCGCUUGGCCAGGGUCCCCUACCAGAAGGCCUACAGGCCACUCAUGAGAAUUUUAGAGGAUUCCUUUUUUAUUUAUUUAUUUAUGUAUUUAUUUAUUUUUAAAUUUAUGAUAGUCACACAGAGAGAGAGAGAGAGAGAGAGGCAGAGACACAGG